This 253-nucleotide ribosomal RNA is filed under the name uncultured bacterium. Its description in RNAcentral is "partial 16S ribosomal RNA". It matches the Rfam family "Bacterial small subunit ribosomal RNA", at positions 524 to 776 of the family's 1533-position model. The record is from RNAcentral.
UACGUAGGGUGCGAGCGUUAAUCGGAAUUACUGGGCGUAAAGCGUGCGCAGGCGGUUCGUGAAGUCCGAUGUGAAAGCCCUGGGCUUAACCUAGGAAUGGCAUUGGAAACUGGCGGGCUAGAGUGUGGCAGAGGGGGGUGGAAUUCCUGGUGUAGCAGUGAAAUGCGUAGAGAUCAGGAGGAACACCGAUGGCGAAGGCAGCCCCCUGGGCUGACACUGACGCUCAGGCACGAAAGCGUGGGGAGCAAACAGG